Long non-coding RNA from Leopardus geoffroyi (Geoffroy's cat), 1694 nucleotides. RefSeq lists it as uncharacterized. The record is from RefSeq and is a predicted model, not a curated record. The transcript is spliced from 2 exons. NCBI's taxonomy places the organism in Eukaryota, Metazoa, Chordata, Mammalia, Carnivora, Felidae.
GGCGGUGUCUCCCAGGGCGGCCCUGGCAGGCAGGGGUCACGGGCCCGACCACCGCCCGCGGGAGGACCGUCCCCGGAGGCCGUCAGCUGAUCCGGCAGAGCCGGGCUGACCGCGUUGACGGCAGCGGCAGGUGCCGUGGCCCCUGGUGCUCCUCCGGCUCCCUGCCCCACGCGGGAGGGGAGAGGCGCGGCAGUGGGGGGGUACAUGACACUCGGAUCCUGUCCCGGCUCUGCCGUUGUCUUGUUGCCUAUCAGACGCAUCACCUGCCGUCUGAGUUUCCCGCCCUUUCCCCUGGUCCGCAAGAAGGCGACGAAAGUCCCGGUGCCUGUCCCGUUCCCCUCACAGAGCGAGCUGCCACGUGAAAGUGUCCGGUGCCUCCAGCAGAGGGCCGGUCUGACGCUCGUGUUGCCCAUCGGGUCGAGGCGUGACUGCCUCGUGGAGUUAGCCUGGCCAGCUUUACUCAUGGAGUUUUCGCUCCUAAAGCACCCGUUGCCGGUCCAAAAAUCUGAGCGAGGAGAACGUGGGGCGCGGUGGUGGUUCUGCGUUCCUCAUCGUCUUGCCAACCUCUUUAAGUUCUUUGGAAAUUCACUCCUUACUUCAAGUACCUCUUCCCUGGGGUCUUCAGCGUUACCGAGAGGGAAAAGGCAGAUUUUUGUCGUUCGUGAGAGGAUGAAAACGACGUUCACCUAGUUUAUUCAAGACAAUAAGUGGGAAUUCCGAGGGGUUUCUCUGCUGUCCUCGAAAGCCCGUGUCUUGUUUUAGCCUGCCACCCCCGUCCCUGCUUCUGUGAUGGGCCUCGAGGUGGUUUUUCAGCAGGGUGGCUCACACACCCCAUCCUGUUUAGAGGUUGCUGUCGUUUAAAUAAGAGAACAGAAUCUUGCAGUCAAGAAUCUUGCAAAUCAAGAUGUCUGCAAACCAAGAAUCUUGGAAAGAGAACCAGAAAGAACUGGAAUCCGUAAUUUGGAUUGCAGUGAUCGACCAUAUUGGAUGUUGUUGGGAAUGGAGAAGGAAAGGGGUUGGGGAAGGAUCAGAGGAAACCUCAGCCCUCAUAAAGUGUUAAUUUUCUUUAUAAAUACUGAGCAAAGAGACAGAAUGCUAAGACUUGUUCGUGUGGAGGUGUAGUUAUGUGGGCGAUUGUUCCUAUACCUUCCUGUGCUUUUAAAACUUCUCAAAGUACAGAUGAGAGAUGAUAUAAAGAAAGAGGCAUGAUCUGUUCUACGUGAUAGUUAGAAUCCGCUGGUGGACAGUGGGAUCCCCAAGGGGGUUCGCUCUGCUGGAAGAAUUCAAGCGUGGCCUCCUGGACAGCGACCGUGUGAGCCGGGCCUGCUGAUCACCAACAGAAAUGCUUUCUUUUGCUUGUCUGUCAUUCACUGAAUGUUCUGGGUUUGGUUGCAUGCCACUUGGGUUGGUUGCAUGCUCUUUUUCUGGACGCUGGUACUCUUUCUGGAGACUGAUGGGGAAAGACUGAGAAUCCGGGCCUCGGAAGAAGGUAUUCUGAAGUCUUCCAUGUAUCACUCGCCUGCGUUAGCACCGGAGAAAGUGUCGCUGUUAGUUGAAGUAGUCGGUUUGCAGGUGACACGUUAAAUGUUAAUACAGAUACGCUAAACUGCGUCGCUGUCCUGAACCGUGAGAUUACCGACGCUUUUUCCCCCGUGCUUUAUUUUCUACUUUCAUAAACAUACGCUCACUUAUGA